UACGAAGGGGGCUAGCGUUGCUCGGAAUCACUGGGCGUAAAGCGCACGUAGGCGGACUCUUAAGUCGGGGGUGAAAUCCUGGAGCUCAACUCCAGAACUGCCUUCGAUACUGGGAGUCUUGAGUUCGGGAGAGGUGAGUGGAACUGCGAGUGUAGAGGUGAAAUUCGUAGAUAUUCGCAAGAACACCAGUGGCGAAGGCGACUUACUGGACUGUAACUGACGCUGAGGCAUGAAAGCGUGGGGAGCAAACAGG
Molecule: ribosomal RNA, 253 nt
Filed under: uncultured bacterium
Lineage: Bacteria
Description: partial 16S ribosomal RNA
Rfam family: Bacterial small subunit ribosomal RNA
Source: RNAcentral